GCCAACUCUUCAUUUAAAAACGCAAUGUGUCGAAAACAAACACUAGAGGCUUUUUCAUAAUGAUGAACAGUGGCUGAAGCGGUCUUAGCUUCAAGUUUCUGGAAAUCAUUUAGCAAUAUCCUCACACCGUUCCCAAAUAUAGUUUUUUUUUUCCUGAGUAGGCUGAAAGAUUUUUUUU
Molecule: long non-coding RNA, 178 nt
Organism: Spea bombifrons (plains spadefoot toad)
Lineage: Eukaryota; Metazoa; Chordata; Amphibia; Anura; Pelobatidae
Exons: 2
Source: RefSeq, a predicted model, not a curated record